Harpegnathos saltator (Jerdon's jumping ant) is the source of this 3281-nucleotide long non-coding RNA. RefSeq lists it as uncharacterized. NCBI's taxonomy places the organism in Eukaryota, Metazoa, Arthropoda, Insecta, Hymenoptera, Formicidae. The transcript has 6 exons. The record is from RefSeq and is a predicted model, not a curated record.
UAUUUAUCUUCUUGUGCUUCCUCCUCUUAUCUCUUUGAAGAAUAGAGUUUGUUGCAGCAGUUGCUUAAAGAUAAAAAUCCAGAAGGUCAAAGAAACGGUUGUGCCUUGUUACAAUUGACUGAGAAAACCGUAUCUACUGUGGAAAUCAUUUCAUAGUACAAUAUGUAACUUGCUUGAGAUAUUUAUAACAAGCAAAUACAUUGUAUUGUGAAAUGAUUUAAUGAAUGUUUUCCAUAGAUCGGCUAUAAAAUGUCAUGAUCAACAACAGAUAUCGCUUCCAUGAAAGAGUAGAACGAGAAAAAGCAUGAAAACGAUAUAAAAUGUUACUGUAAACAAGAUUAUAUUUAAAUAUGAGGUAAAAAGAACUUAUGAAAAGCUCGUAAAUCUGAAGCUAUUUAUCUUCAUAUCUGGAAGAAAACAGAUCAAACUGAAUGAAACGUGUGAUUAGAAAUUUCGUAGAAUUGCUCCGGUUUGUUUCAAUGUAUUAAAGAUCAUUUACAGUGGAAGUAUAUAUAGAGCGUAUAAACACGUGUUCGUUUAUCAUGCCUGCAUCCACCUACGUACUUACGACACGUGCACGAGCGGCAGUUCUGUUUACACGAACGAAAAGUACGCAAUUGCUUCUUCAUGAUGGCAAUAUUAUCAUUAUUGCAGUCCCUUUUGGCAAAAUUGGAGCUUACCGCAGUGAUCGAAUAUCAAAAAGAACUCGAGAUCAAGGGAUAAGAGGACAAAAAGCCUUCGCUGAAUACAUCACCUAAGAAAGUCAGGACACAAAGCAAAAAUAUUACGUGUACAGAAGAGAACACGAAAAUAAUAUUUCCGAGGAAUAUUUUAUCCGAAUACACAAUUGAGAGACAGACUGAAAGGCGAGAAAGGAUAGUCUCGACAUUGUAAAGUUAAUGCAGAUGUUGUCGGUGACGGGAAAAUCCGUUGGAUUGCGAAAGGAAGUCAGACAAGGAGACGUUUCCUGCGGGAUUUUUCGCUGUUGGGCUCGAAGAGGCCGAAUUUUCAUUGCGCGCCAGUCGUCCCGCUGCAUCGAACUCGACUCGGGCAAGCCCUCUUCAGACAAUAACGCGGUUCACACACGCCGAAUACAUACACUGAUUGUCGUUACCACGUGAUUACUCUGUGACCCGAUAUGUUCUGCGAUUAGAGCUGCGGCGCAAUAACGAUAUUCGCACACGAGAAUUGGAUGUGAAUCAAUUCUCGCCUACUGCGCAGAAUACAUUUCCCCGUGUAUGCUUUUUGUUUCGCAUUCUCGGCAGUGGAGGGAAAGGAUACGUUUACAUCGGCGAACGAAAAGUCCAGCCAUUCGAAGAAAGGGAAUGCAAAAUGCCCGCUGUAGUCGGCACCGAUAACCCAAAUAGGCAAACAGACAAGAUACCUCUUAGAUUUCUAAAAAAUAUCUUGCAAUGUCUUGAGAUAUCUUACAUUUUUCCGAAAAGAUAUCUCUUAGGGAUCUAAAGGUAUUCUUCUAGACAUCUUUUAGAAAUGUAUCUUGAAGAUAUCUUUCAUAAAAUAUAUUUUAGAUGUCUACAAGAUAUCGAUGUUUACUGGGAAUCGUUCACCGUAAUUUAUACGAUGCUGAUGCGAUUGCAAUUUGUACGUUGUUUAUGUGUGACGCAAGUAAGAGCAUACGUCGGUGUAUGAGCACAGCGGCAGGAAUGUGGGAUAAAAAGAGUUCGCUAUCGUUGAAUAUUAUGUGGCUCAAGGAAAGAGCUGAAGAAAUUAGCGGGCGUAACGGUGCGACUUGCCGUUGCAUUGUAAAAUCGCGGCGCAAUUUUGUCGCGCCGCCGAGUGGAAAAUGCACGCAUGUAGCGGGCGCAACUUCAUUCGGCGUGUUGUUACAUACACCGCGCAUUGCACAUGUCGUUUAUCUGCGAACGGACGUUUUUCGAGAUUUUUAUAUUUACAACGUAUGAACGUCAUUGUUUUGCCACGCGUGUGUGAAACAUUAUUCGAAGGUCAUUCGGUGACGAGAAUGCGGUUAUGAUAAAACCGCACAUUUCGCCUUUCGAUACAAUGCGAAAUUCUUUUAUCUAUGCAUUGAGAGAAUGGCUGAAAUUCAACAAAUUGAUAGAUUAAUAAAAAAUUUAGUGCGAACACGCACAUGGCAAUACAGAAAACUUAAUUUUAAAAAUGCAAGUGGUGGAAGUCAAAGUGGAUAAUAAUUUGUUUUGUUUUUUUUUAACUUUGAUUACUCAACGACUUUUCGUUAGCCUGGAAAGAUAAUAUAAGAUAGCCUGAAAAAUAAUAUAACGAAUAUUCAUAAAAAAUUCCAUGAUUUUUGAUCUUCGUGUGCUGAAACAAGUGGAAAACUUUCAAGAGAUACGAACGAUCUCUUGAUUGAUCGGUUCAUAGUCGAAGGUUGUGCAAAAUUUAUAAUGCGCAAUUUAAUCGAUCGUUUUACGCUAUCACGAAUCUUAUCGCCGAUAGAUAACGGAUAGCAGAAUGCGUUCUUUCCUAUCUUUCGUAUCUUUCCUAUCUUGUAUCAUUAGGACGAUAAGUCGAACCGACGGCGAUAGCGCGUAUCGCAAUGCCAGGAAGUUGAUAUUGUAAGCUCGUAAAUUUAGAAAAGAGUCGUGCGAAAAAUAAUGUAUAUUUGCUGUGCUUUAAACGCAACUCCGUUUGAGUUCAAAGUCCGGUAAAGAUAUAUCAUAUGGCGAUACGCGAUGGCAAUAUAUGUUAUUGCUAUUACAUUAUAUUCGUUUUAAGGCCGGUUGUUCCAACUCCUUGGUAUUGAUAGUUAAAUCAUAUGUUUGUCUUCGUUUAAAUUGAAGGAAAAACAAAGAUAAACAUAUGAUGGCCCGAUUGUUCCAAUCGGGCCUUAAGUAGGUAGAUGCAAUGAUUGUCGAUAAGCAUCACACAACAAUGACACGCCGACUGUUUUACAGACUAUGGAACCAUUUUGUCGAUACACUAUCUAACGAAAGCGAGGAAUUAAUUACAAAUAUGGUGCAUGAUUUAUUCAUAUAGAUAUGUCGUUCAAUUACGCAAUGGUACUUGAGAGCAUUUAUCGAACUAAUAGGAAGUUUUUGCAAAAAUCGCAGCAGAACGAAAUCACAUGAGCGUGACAGCGGCUGGUAAACGAGACUCGCGAAAUCAUGUAUACGUGACAGCAGCAGUAAUGACAAGUCGUGGGAAAAAGUGGCGUAUGCGCACUGAGCAAACGCUGUGGUAGCUUCACGGAUAUAUAUAUGGAGCAUUAUUUUAGAUUCUUCAUAGACCCAGAAGUAUUGACCAAUUAGGAGCGAGAUUCAAUGGAAAAUCUAGUAAUGUUG